This 466-nucleotide ribosomal RNA is filed under the name uncultured bacterium. Its description in RNAcentral is "partial 16S ribosomal RNA". It matches the Rfam family "Bacterial small subunit ribosomal RNA", at positions 339 to 795 of the family's 1533-position model. The record is from RNAcentral.
CUACGGGUGGCUGCAGUGGGGAAUAUUGGACAAUGGGGGAAACCCUGAUCCAGCAAUGCCGCGUGUGUGAAGAAGGCCUGCGGGUUGUAAAGCACUUUCGGUUGGGAGGACUGCUUCUAGCACUAAUAUUGUUGGAAGUUGACGUUACCUUCAGAAGAAGCACCGGCUAACUCCGUGCCAGCAGCCGCGGUAAUACGGAGGGGUGCAAGCGUUAAUCGGAAUUACUGGGCGUAAAGCGCGCGUAGGCGGCUAGAUCAGUCGGGUGUGAAAGCCUCGGGCUUAACCUGGGAACUGCAUCCGAUACUGUCUAGCUUGAGUACAGGAGAGGGGAGUGGAAUUCCACAUGUAGCGGUGAAAUGCGUAGAUAUGUGGAGGAACACCAAUGGCGAAGGCAGCUCUCUGGCCUGAUACUGACGCUGAGGUGCGAAAGCGUGGGGAGCAAACAGGAUUAGAUACCCUUGUAGUC